This is a long non-coding RNA of Arabidopsis thaliana (thale cress), 302 nucleotides long. RefSeq annotates it as other RNA. NCBI's taxonomy places the organism in Eukaryota, Viridiplantae, Streptophyta, Magnoliopsida, Brassicales, Brassicaceae. The transcript has a single exon. The record is from RefSeq.
UUCCAAAAUUAGUCAGGAAUAUUUAUUGUUAUAUAUACACCAUUUCUGUGUAUGACUGUUGGAUAGUAACAAAAAAUCUUUUGAAUUGCAGAUUCCGAGACUCGAAGAUGAAGGGGAUUCUGAUUCGUGAUUUUCGACCAAUAAAUCCAUGGGAUGCUAGCAAAGAGAAAUAGACGGUAGAGGAGGACAUGGUGGCAGGUAAUCAAAGAUAUAAUGUUUUUGUGUUGCUUUGUUUCCGGUGUAGAUUUUGUUUUGCAUUACUGUGUCUCCGGUUUGAUUCUUGUUCUUGUUCUUAUCUGGAU